This 204-nucleotide ribosomal RNA is filed under the name uncultured eukaryote. RNAcentral describes it as "partial small subunit ribosomal RNA". The record is from RNAcentral.
GCCUGGAGCCGAGUGGACCGUUGCGGAUUGGAAGAUCGGGGAUGUGGUCCCCCUGGCCUUCGGCGUCACCGUUAAGGGCUUCGUCGAGUUCGUUCCGGGAGAGGGACUCGGUCUCGGGGGCGGCGGUUUUGCCACGUUCCACAUGGGCUUCAAGGGCUUGGAUAUCCCCGAGUUCUUUCAGAAGAUUGACUGGUAUGCGGGUCU